This 402-nucleotide ribosomal RNA is filed under the name Triticum aestivum (bread wheat). RNAcentral's name for it is "partial small subunit ribosomal RNA". Lineage: Eukaryota; Viridiplantae; Streptophyta; Magnoliopsida; Poales; Poaceae. The record is from RNAcentral.
CUUCAACAAUUCUUGGCCCUUUGGGAGAAGCUAGUGACCAUGACCAUUCAGCCGGGUGUACACGACUCUAUCGUGUGGAAGUCAACCAAUGAUGGACAAUACUCUGCAAAGUCUGCUUACUUGGCAUGGUUUCAUGACCUCUCGCACUCAAGUUUGGCUGCUAUGGUCUGGAAGGCGUGGGCUCCCCCCAAAUGCAAAUUUUUCGCCUGGCUUGUUAUCCAAAACAGAGUUUGGACGGUUGAUAGGCUUAAGAGGAGAAGAUGGCCCAAUUGCGACAAAUGCCCACUCUGCAGUCAGGUGCAAGAAUCUGCAACACACCUGCUCUUCAAGUGCCACUUCUCUAUUCGGAUGUGGAAUGCAGUCUUCUCAUGGCUUGGGCUUGCUAUCCCCACAGCCCCGUGA